Molecule: ribosomal RNA, 440 nt
Filed under: uncultured bacterium
Lineage: Bacteria
Description: partial 16S ribosomal RNA
Rfam family: Bacterial small subunit ribosomal RNA
Source: RNAcentral
CCUACGGGAGGCAGCAGUAGGGAAUAUUGCUCAAUGGGGGAAACCCUGAAGCAGCAACGCCGCGUGGAGGAUGAAGGUUUUCGGAUUGUAAACUCCUUUUGUUAGAGAAGAUAAUGACGGUAUCUAACGAAUAAGCACCGGCUAACUCCGUGCCAGCAGCCGCGGUAAUACGGAGGGUGCAAGCGUUACUCGGAAUCACUGGGCGUAAAGAGCGCGUAGGCGGGAUAGCAAGUCAGGUGUUAAAUCCUAUGGCUUAACCAUAGAACUGCAUUUGAAACUGUUAUUCUAGAGUAUGGGAGAGGUAGGUGGAAUGCGUGGUGUAGGGGUAAAAUCCGUAGAGAUCAAGAGGAAUACUCAUUGCGAAGGCGACCUGCUGGAACAUAACUGACGCUGAUGCGCGAAAGCGUGGGGAGCAAACAGGAUUAGAUACCCUAGUAGUC